RNAcentral lists this ribosomal RNA (450 nucleotides) under uncultured bacterium. RNAcentral's name for it is "partial 16S ribosomal RNA". It matches the Rfam family "Bacterial small subunit ribosomal RNA", at positions 354 to 796 of the family's 1533-position model. The record is from RNAcentral.
GUGGGGAAUUUUGGACAAUGGGCGAAAGCCUGAUCCAGCAAUGCCGCGUGCAGGAUGAAGGCCUUCGGGUUGUAAACUGCUUUUGUACGGAACGAAAAAGCUCCUUCUAAUACAGGGGGCCCAUGACGGUACCGUAAGAAUAAGCACCGGCUAACUACGUGCCAGCAGCCGCGGUAAUACGUAGGGUGCGAGCGUUAAUCGGAAUUACUGGGCGUAAAGCGUGCGCAGGCGGUUAUGUAAGACAGAUGUGAAAUCCCCGGGCUCAACCUGGGAACUACAUUUGUGACUGCAUGGAUAGAGUACGGUAGAGGGGGAUGGAAUUCCGCGUGUAGCAGUGAAAUGCGUAGAUAUGCGGAGGAACACCGAUGGCGAAGGCGAUCCCCUGGACCUGUACUGACGCUCAUGCACGAAAGCGUGGGGAGCAAACAGGAUUAGAAACCCCGGUAGUCC